Helianthus annuus (common sunflower) is the source of this 106-nucleotide non-coding RNA. The record is from Rfam. Lineage: Eukaryota; Viridiplantae; Streptophyta; Magnoliopsida; Asterales; Asteraceae.
GUCCCCCCAUUGUGGCCAUCUAAUAAAAUUGGAACGAUAUAGAGAAGAUUAACAUGAUCCGCGUGUAAGAAUGACAAGUACAAAGCCAGAAUAGUUAAAAGAAAUA